Molecule: small RNA, 107 nt
Filed under: Sinorhizobium meliloti 2011
Lineage: Bacteria; Pseudomonadati; Pseudomonadota; Alphaproteobacteria; Hyphomicrobiales; Rhizobiaceae
Description: putative ncRNA
Source: RNAcentral
UAUAGGCCGACUGGAUGCCGAUCGCGUCGUGCAGGUGCGAGUUGUGGGUAUUGUCGGAGAAGCAGUCGUGCUCCUCUUCCGGAUCGUGGAGGAGCAGGCCGAGCUUC